AGUGAACGCUGGCGGUAGGCCUAACACAUGCAAGUCGAACGGCAGCACAGUAAGAGCUUGCUCUUACGGGUGGCGAGUGGCGGACGGGUGAGGAAUGCAUCGGAAUCUACUUUUUCGUGGGGGAUAACGUAGGGAAACUUACGCUAAUACCGCAUACGACCUACGGGUGAAAGCAGGGGAUCUUCGGACCUUGCGCGAUUGAAUGAGCCGAUGUCGGAUUAGCUAGUUGGCGGGGUAAAGGCCCACCAAGGCGACGAUCCGUAGCUGGUCUGAGAGGAUGAUCAGCCACACUGGAACUGAGACACGGUCCAGACUCCUACGGGAGGCAGCAGUGGGGAAUAUUGGACAAUGGGCGCAAGCCUGAUCCAGCCAUACCGCGUGGGUGAAGAAGGCCUUCGGGUUGUAAAGCCCUUUUGUUGGGAAAGAAAAGCAGCAGGUUAAUACCCCGCUGUUCUGACGGUACCUAAAGAAUAAGCACCGGCUAACUUCGUG
Molecule: ribosomal RNA, 492 nt
Filed under: uncultured bacterium
Lineage: Bacteria
Description: partial 16S ribosomal RNA
Rfam family: Bacterial small subunit ribosomal RNA
Source: RNAcentral